This 3158-nucleotide long non-coding RNA is filed under the name Sus scrofa (pig). RNAcentral describes it as "lncRNA (ENSSSCG00000052010.1)". Lineage: Eukaryota; Metazoa; Chordata; Mammalia; Artiodactyla; Suidae. The record is from RNAcentral.
GUAACAGUACCUCAGAGCUCUUGCUAAGCCAAUAGAUGACAUCUGUACUGAUGAUAUUUCCCAGCUUUCCUUGCAACUCUGGGUGCCAUGGACUAAUUUGGGGCCAACUGGAUCUGAGAAGUGAUGUGUGUAACUUCUGAGUCAUCUUUUUAAAGACAUUUACUUUUUUCCUGCCAACUGGGAAAUGGUAACAACUGGAGCAACCUUGGAGACCAUACCGUGAGAUGGGAGAGCUGCCCUGACAUGAGAGAGAAAUACAAUUCUAUUCUGAAUUAAGUGCUAUGUUUGGUUAGAGUCGCUUGGCUUGUAGCUCAGCUAAUUCACAGAAGGAGCUGUGUGGGUUUGUAGGGAGGCACUUUUCUAGCAAGGGUAAUAGUGUCAGCAGAGACUGUAAAGUAGGAACUUACCAGGAAUGUUAGAGGAACAGCAAAGAGGUCACUGGCGUUGGAGUGGAGCAGUAGGAGAUGAAAUUAGGAAAGUGUCAGAGGAGAGAUCAUGUAGUCCGUGGGCACCUUCCCUGCGGCUUGGGGUUUUAUUCUUGUGAGCUGUGGAUGUACGGCUGGAGCAAAGGAAUGACAUGAUGUGACUCUGGUUUUCAAAAGAUCAUCCUCACUGUUAUGAAUAGAGCAUGGAAGCAGGGUGGAAAUGUGGAGAGACUAGUUUAGAGGUUAUCACAGUAUCCCAGCAAGAGAGCACAGUGGCUUGAAGUAGGGUGCCAAUGGUGGUGCACUUACAGCGUUUUUCUCAAGUGUGCUAUUUCCCAUGUACUGAUGAAUUGCAAAUGAGAGAAAGAAGUGCGGGUGAUAAGUAUAGAAGGAAUUGACAUGGGAAUUAGAAGAUCAUAUGAGGAGGUCUGGGAGUGGAGGAGUUAAGUGACUUACGUUUUCUUUGCUCACAAGCUUUGUAUGACCACCUUCUGUUUACGUAAUUGUAAUUAAGCUUAUCUCAGCCUCUAUCAAUCAGACUCUACAGCAUGAACUCUGCCACCUGUCUUUCCUCUAUUUGACCUCUGCUCUGUCUUCCUGUCUUUAGUCUAAGUCUAAUUCAGCCCAUUCAUCCAUUUGGGGAGACGUUCAGUGUCAGCAGAAGAUAGUGAUCUCUGAGUGACAUACCUCAAUUACCUUCUUUCUCAAAAGCACUUAGGGAAAGAGAAAAUGAGAACAGGGAUAAGGACUCAAUGUUGGAGAUAUGCACUGUAAUUGGAGAAGGGAUGGGAGGUUGAAAUGCUGAGGAAAGUCAGGAGGGAGGAGAAAGCCCAAGGCUGGGACUGUGGGGAAAAGUGAAAGUUGUGCAGAGGGAGACGGGGCAGGUAUGAAUGGACCAGAGGUGAGGGGAAAUGAUGACAGUCCAUGCUAGGGACCAGCAAACAGGAGGAAUGACCUUGCUUCUCCUUUUGUAAUGGAGCAGAUAAUACGUGCCCUGUAAAUCACUGGGAUCAAGUAAUCUUGAGGAAGUGGUCCCAAGAGAAUUGUCACACUUUCAAGAUCUGAUUAUAAAUUAGGUAUGAGCCCAGUUGUUCCUAUAGGAAACACGGCAAUGUUAGCACCAUCCUCUGUCCAAGGGUGUACAAAUGACUUAAUGUGAGAAACCCUUCUUCAUUUCCAGGGGAAAAUUAUCCAUGGCCAUUUCAAGCCAUCUAGGGAAACCCAAACCCAAACUCCAGGGAUGACUUUGUUUUGUCAUUUGAUAAGAGAACGUUCCCAGAAUGGGCAGUCAUUGAAAGUGGAACAGGAUAACCUUAAAGCUGCUUUAGAGACUGGAAAAUAUUCAGCAUUAUGAAGCAAACAUGGAGGGACACAUGUUUUAAAUCAGUGAUUAACACGUUAAAUACAUGUUUAUGCAAGGGGCGCCUUCUUCUUCUUUUUUUAAAUUUAUUUUUUUGUUAUUCAAUGAAUUUAUUACAUGUACAAUGAACAUCACAUAAUCACCAUUUCCCUUUAUGAUUUGUAGCUAACAAUAAAUUUUUUUUUUUUUUUUUUUGUCUUUUUGCCUUUUCUAGGGCCGCUUCCGGCGGCAUAUGGAAGUUCCUAGUCUAGGGGUCCAAUCGGAGCUGUAGCCGCUGGCCUACGCCACAGCCACUGCAACAUGGGAUCCGAGCCGUGUCUGCAACCUACACCACCACUCACAGCAACACCGGAUCCCCAACCCACUGAGCAAGGCCAGGGAUCAAACCCACAACCCCAUGGUUCCUAGUCGGAUUCGCUAACCACUGCGCCAUGAUGGGAACUCCAAGCUAACAAUAAAAUUUAACAUGAAAAUGAGAAUGACUAGAAUAUUAGCAUUAUUUACAUAUAAGUUUCUGUUUGAGCAAGCAGGCCUCUAGGUUAUAGGAAAUAUGGUCAAAAUGUAUAUAUUUUAAAAGCAACUCUUGUACUCUGUUGGUAGGGCUGUAAAAUGGUGUGGCCACUCUGAAAAAUAUUGUGACAGUUUCUCAAAAAAUAACAAAAUAAUUACCACAUGAGCCAGUAAUUCCAUUUUGGGGUAUAUACCUAAAGUAAUGGAAAAAUAGGGACCCCAAAUCUGUUUAUACACCCAUGCUCUUAGCAGCACUAUUCAUAAUAGCCAAGUGGUAGAGGCAACCAAGUGUCCAUUGACAGAUAAAUGGAUAAACACAAUGUGGGAUAUACAUACAGUGAGCUUAAAAAGAAAGGAAAUCCUGACACAUGCUAAAACACAGAUGAACAUGGAGGAUAUUAUGCUGCAUGAAAUAAGCCAGUCACUCAAACAUGAAGACCACUUAUACGAGGUACAUAGAGUAGUUGAAUUCACAGAGACAGAGAGUCGAAGGGUGGUUGCUGGAGUGGGGUGGGGAAAGAAGAGUUUAUUGUUUAAUGAGUACGGAGUUUCAGUUUUGCAAGAUUAGAAAGUUCUAGAGGUGGGUGGUUGCACAACAAUGUGAAUGAGUUUAAUGCCACUGAACCAUACACUUCAAAAUGGUUAAGAUGGAACUUUAUGUCAUGUGUCUUUGACCACAAUGAAAACUAAUUUUCAAAAAUAGAUAAAAACAAACAAAAUACAACAGGAAGAAAUUUUAAAACUUCUGGGCUUCGUAAAAUCAGCAGCCAUUUAUUUUGUCUUCGGUUUGAGGCAUCUCAUUUUGUGUUUUGCUCAGAGAGUAAUUCCCUAAUGUGAUGCUUACACAUUCCCCACUGUCCAAA